RNAcentral lists this transfer RNA (60 nucleotides) under Cricetulus griseus (Chinese hamster). It matches the Rfam family "tRNA", at positions 7 to 64 of the family's 71-position model. From Rfam's summary of the family: Transfer RNA (tRNA) molecules are approximately 80 nucleotides in length. Their secondary structure includes four short double-helical elements and three loops (D, anti-codon, and T loops). The record is from Rfam by way of RNAcentral. Lineage: Eukaryota; Metazoa; Chordata; Mammalia; Rodentia; Cricetidae.
GUAGCUCAACAGUUAAGAGCACUGCAUGCUCUUUCAGAGGACCUGGGUUCAAUUCCCAGC